AUGGGUUGUAAGCUUGGCAAGCAGAUACAACUUCCAUAUCCCUCUAGUAAUUCUGUUUCUCAACGACCUUUUGAACUUGUUCACUCUGAUGUAUGGGGUCCUGCCCCCUUUGUUUCGAAAGGGGGUCACAAAUAUUAUAUAAUUUUCAUUGAUGAUUUCUCUCGCCACACUUGGAUCUACUUUAUGUCAUCUCGUAGUCAAGUGCUUCAAAUUUACAAGUCGUUUGCUACCAUGGUUCGCACUCAGUAUGAUUUCUCUGUUCGAGUUUUUCGUGCUGAUUCGGCUGGCGAGUACUUAUCUCGUGCGCUUCGUGGUUUCCUUGCUGAACAGGGUACCCUUCCUCAGUAUUCCUGUCCUGGUGCACACGCUCAAAAUGGGGUGGCUGAACGCAAACAUCGUCACGUCCUUGAGACUGCUCGGACUCUUCUUUUAUCUUCUGCUGUUCCCCCGCACUUUUGGGCUGAGGCUGUCUCUACCGCUGUUUAUCUCAUUAAUAUCCAGCCUUCUGUUGCUCUUCAGGGAGGGAUACCAGUUGAUCAUCUAGGUGAUGGUCCAGCUGAUUAUAGUGGUCUACGCCUGUUUGGUUGUGCCUGUUUUGUUCUUCUCCACCCUCAUGAACGCACCAAAUUGACUGCUCAAUCUGUUGAAUGUGUUUUCCUUGGCUACAGUUUGGAGCACAAAGGUUACCGUUGCUGGGACCCUAUUGCUCGAAGACUGAGAAUCUCCAAAGAUGUCACUUUUGAUGAGUCUCGCUCCUUCUACCCUCGUCAUUCUUCUACUGCCACAACCGAGUCGUUAGUCGAGCCUCUCUCUUUUUUGACUCUACCUGAUUCUUCACCUUUAUCGUCACCUGGUAGGUCCACUCCUAGCCUUUCACCUGUGUCUGCUCAUGAGCUUCAGCUUACACAGGAUGAGGUUUCUAUUCCUGACUCUCCUACUCGGGUUGAGCCAUCCACUCUCUCUCCUUUUCCUUUUACCUACUCCCGUCGUGCUCAACACCCUUCUCCCUCUGAUGCGCCACCUUCCACUUCCCCUCUCUCUCCGCUUCCUUUUGUCUACUCCCGUCGUGCUCGGCACCCUUCUCCCUCGGAUGCGCCCACUUCCACUUCCACUCCUUCCCUGUUGGGUCCCAUUCCUUCAGAACCACCUACCCCUCCUGCUCCUCGGUAUAAUCUGCGUGAUCGCCACACUCUCCAGCCUCCUGCGUACUAUGUUGCUGCUGCUACCACUCUUGUUGAGCCGUCUACGUAUCGUGAGGCUGCUGCUCAUUCUGAAUGGCAGCAUGCUAUGGCAGAGGAAAUUCAUGCUCUUGAGCGCACAGGCACUUGGGACCUUGUACCCCUGCCUACAGGCAUUAGACCCAUCACUUGCAAAUGGGUCUACAAGGUUAAGACACAUUCAGAUGGUUCUCUCGUGCGCUAUAAAGCUCGUCUUGUUGCGCGUGGCUUCCAGCAGGAGUAUGGUCGUGACUAUGAUGAGACUUUUGCUCCUGUUGCUCACAUGACCACUGUUCGCACUCUUUUGGUUGUUGCUGCUGUUCGGCGGUGGUCCAUCUCUCAAUUAGAUGUCAAGAAUGCCUUCUUGAAUGGUGAGCUGCGGGAAGUGGUCUAUAUGCAGCCGCCUCCUGGCUAUACUGUCUCUGAUGGCACUGUCUGUCGCCUUCGGCGCGCUCUUUACGGGCUGAAACAAGCUCCUCGUACCUGGUUUGAGCGUUUCUCCGCCGUCAUCACAAGGAUCGGGUUCUCUGCUAGUGUUCAUGAUCCUGCUCUGUUUAUUCACACUUCUCGCGGUCGCACCCUUUUACUACUCUAUGUUGAUGACAUGAUUAUCACAGGGGCUGACCACCAAUUCAUUGAUUUUGUGAAGAAACGUCUACAUGAGCAAUCUUGA
RNAcentral lists this ribosomal RNA (1890 nucleotides) under Triticum aestivum (bread wheat). RNAcentral describes it as "partial small subunit ribosomal RNA". The record is from RNAcentral. Lineage: Eukaryota; Viridiplantae; Streptophyta; Magnoliopsida; Poales; Poaceae.